Long non-coding RNA from Monodelphis domestica (gray short-tailed opossum), 565 nucleotides. RefSeq lists it as uncharacterized. NCBI's taxonomy places the organism in Eukaryota, Metazoa, Chordata, Mammalia, Didelphimorphia, Didelphidae. The record is from RefSeq and is a predicted model, not a curated record.
UUUGUAUAGGUGUGAGCUUGAAUAAUGUGGAGAUGCAAUCAACUAUGUGUGUAAGAAAGAAUAUGUGAAAAGGGAAGGAAUGUGUGUGUGUGUGUGUGUGUGUGUGUGUGUGUGUGUGUGUGUGUGUGUGUGUGUGUGUGUGUGAGAGAGAGAGAGAGAGAGGUCUGAGAGAGCAUAUUUGUGUGACAGGGAGACAGAUGUAAAAAAAUUCCUAGAAACUGUGGCUGGGUCUGCAGGAGCCACAUUAGCACUGCUCUGACAGGACGAGUUAUUAAAUGUUCCCUCGUUUGGUGACAGCAUCAUACUUUGACGUGGAUCUCUGCUUGCCUGCCAACGUGUCCCUGCAGUAAGAAGUUGAGACUAUUCUGAGACUGAGCCUUGUUGGUUGAAUAUGUGGUGAUAGACUGCUGUUUUUUUUCUCCUAAGAUACUACUUAUGCUCUGGAAGAGAGAAAUGAGAAGUUCAGAAGGAAGUCCAGAGAAGCAAGUUAAUUUCAAAAGUAAUGUAUGAAAUUUAUUAUAUAUUUAAAACAAAAAGCAUAAUAAAAUGAAGAUUUAUGGUUUAA